RNAcentral lists this long non-coding RNA (2322 nucleotides) under Gallus gallus (chicken). RNAcentral describes it as "lncRNA (ENSGALG00010008570.1)". Lineage: Eukaryota; Metazoa; Chordata; Aves; Galliformes; Phasianidae. The record is from RNAcentral.
GAAGGAGGUGGGAGUUGACUUUUUGCUUUUUGGUCUUCUGCUCAGGGGCCUAGCAGGGCGUCUGUUAGAGGUGUCCUGCUGGUGUCUGAAACCCACAUAAGCCUGGAGAAAGUUAGAGGAAGAUAUGUGCUACACACACAGAAUCCUUUUGCUGUCUUUGUUUGCUGGUCGAGAAAUAGAGCUGGUUAUUUUAAUUAUUCCAAGAAAGCAUCAGUCAUACUAUAUCAACAAUGAUUUAUAGAACAGAGAUGUUUGCUUUUGGUCUGUUGUAGUAUGCCAUACAGUAAUAUCCACUCCUAUAAGUUAGGCCUUCAUUAGACAUCUCUGCUAAGAGAUUUUCAGGAUGACAGUGCAAAGUCAAGUGACAGACUGAUCACUGUACUUUGAAAAAAAAUUCCUCUGCUAGACUAAUUUUGAGAUGAUAUAUAUGCACUAGAGGGUUACCUUGCUUGUGCUUUUUCCAUGUUAUUCUGAUGCUAGAUAACUCUAGCUACUGCUAGCUUAGCUCAAAUAUUGAUGGCAAGAUCAGUGUGGCAUGAAGAGCAUGUUAUUUCAGAAUCUGCUUCACCUCUAACUUGGACUGAUUGUUUUUAGGUUAAGGAUAAAUUCUACCUAUUCUUCCUCAGUCCUUUUGCUCUGGGAAGUACCAUGUCACAAUGACAACUUUUGUGGAGUGAAUAUGAGCCCUCACUGCAGUAUUGGCUUAAUUAGCUGAUGUUAGGAACCGUGGGGAUGUUUGGCAGUUUCUGGUCCAGGUACCAGUUUCCUUCUGGUAUCUUAAAUCCAGCUCAAAGUUCCUGGAAGAGUACAGUCCCAGCUAGACUGAUGUUGGCUUUUCAGAGAACUGUCAUUUCGCUAGCGCAGUAAGUCAGGGAAAAGAGUCCUGGGCUUUGAUGGAUAACAGACAGAUGAUUUCACACACACAAAUUACUCAUGUAGGCAAGUGAGAAAUCUGGGACCCUCUUUUUGGAGCUAUCUCCACUCUCCUAUCUUUUAAAGAGUAAAUCAUAAGUCAUUCAUCUUCCCCAAAUAAAGAUUUUGGCCAGGCCAGGUGAAUCGUCUAAAUCUUUGCUGAUCUUAGAGACUUUGUGUAAGCCACUUCCUUGCUUCUGUGGCACCCUUGUGUGAUCUGAAGCACAUCUCCCAGAGAAGAUGUUUCCUCUCAGACCAACUUGAGUGUCCACCUGUUGUCCUCUGGGCUCUGUUUUUCAAAUUGCGUAUCUGAACAAAGUCUUCGACUGUGACUCCCUGCAAAGAGAAGCACCCAGGAGUUGCAAAGUUUGAAAAACAUGAAGUGAUGGCAUAUACUUGGAUAUAUCACAGUCCAGAACAGAAAAUCUGUCAUUUGGGAAAAUAUAUAAAUUAGAAGAGGUGAUGACUUGAAGACAUGGAGACUUCUACCUAGAUGCUGAAGACACCUGUGAGCUGGAAACUCACUGAGAAGUGACUAAUCUAGUAUUGCUCCAUCAAGGUUGUCUGAGAUCCUAGUCCACUUGUUGUAUGAAUUGCCACUCAUGUUGGCAGUUCAAGGAAAGAAGCUAAGAGCAGAAUUGGAGUAGACAAAGGCAUCCUUUCAGUCCAAAAUAAUGAUCAACAACUCUUGUAAAUUGCUUCUUACUCAGACAUGGAGAUAACGUGGAGAAGGCUGCCCGUGUCUGACAGUUCUAAGGCAGGGGGAAGUGGAAAUGAGGUUGAAGUAUUUGAUCUCCAACGCUGUUAUCAAAUGUUCCAGCGUCACUACUGGAAUCUUUCAUUUUCCUGUUAUUGUUAUCUGGUCUUUUUGGUUUUAUUUCAUUCUCAAGUAUGAACUAGUAGCUCCAAUACACUUAGCAAAGAUUAUUUAAGGGCAAGUGGAACAUACUAGCUGGCUCUGGUUAGUUUCUUUGUUGGGCCACAGUGUUGAACAGACAUGAUUCAUCAAUGAAGGCAGUGCACUCAGAGUUGUUUGGAAUUCUUUAACUUUCAUGUUUUGAUAUAAUGUUAAAAACUGUCCUCCAGAAAAUCUGCUCUUUUUCAGAACUAGAGAACUUGCAGAGGAGCCUGUGAAAUGGUUAAAGAAAUUUAAGUUCCUUGUAUAAAUUCCAUUACAAUAUUCUAGAGAGAAAAUCUUAAAAAUAACAGGAAAAGAAAUGUAUUGGAUAAUUCACCAAUAAGAAUACGCAAUACUGAGAAAACAACAAAGAUAAAGAGUUCUUUGUUUGUUUGUUUGUUUGUUUGUUUGUUUGUGAGGAUCUGAAUCAUACAGAAAUAGUAAUCUGAGAGCAUUGUUUUCUUUUGACAAAUCUUGGUCAAACUUUACUUUCACAUUAAAACCUUGAUAUC